Molecule: long non-coding RNA, 7630 nt
Filed under: Eucalyptus grandis
Lineage: Eukaryota; Viridiplantae; Streptophyta; Magnoliopsida; Myrtales; Myrtaceae
Description: long non-coding RNA (EGRA_LNC004551)
Source: RNAcentral
GGUACACCACUGGAGUGAUGACGUUUGCCCGAUUACCGGCACGAUCAAGAUCGAGAAUUUCAACCAGAACAUUGGAGCUCUGUCAGUGAAGCUUUCGCCAGAAGAGAUGGCCAAGCUCAAAUCGAUUGCUUAUACGGACAAUGUCAGGCGUGAGAAUUAAAACCACAUUUGAUACUAAAUUAUGCCUAGGUAGGAAUUCAAAACUCCACCUCCCGCUUUUCAUGUGGGAAGGUUGGCCCCACCUCGCGCUUAUGGAAAGAGUAAUCACGAAGACAUCACAAUAGUUCAAUUGACGUGAGCAGGUACGUCUUCCCUACAUGGUAAGGGUCGUCACUGGGCGUGCAAUUGACGUAAGCACGUGCGUCUUCACAGCCACUACCGCUCCCCUCCUACUCAUCGUAGCUUCUGCCACUACCCUCCUAUAAAUCUCGGCUCGCCCGACGACUUCGCCAUCGUCUCGGUGCAGUGCAGGGAACGAUCGAGCUCGAGCUAGACUACGGCAAUGGCGGCAUCGACGACGACGGUGAGGAGGAUCAAGCUGGGGUCGCAGGGCCUGGAGGUGUCGGCGCAGGGGCUGGGCUGCAUGAGCAUGUCCGCCUUCUACGGCCCUCCCAAGUCCGAGCCCGACAUGAUCGCCCUCAUCCACCACGCCGUCGGCUCCGGCGUCACCUUCCUCGACACCUCCGACUUCUACGGUCCUCACACCAACGAAAUCCUCCUCGGAAAGGUCGUUCUCUCAGUCUCUCUUUUGCCUCUGCAUGAAUUAUAUAUGCUUAUGGUUUUACGGAACUUAGCUUCAUCGAGCAGGAUGCUCUGAUCCUGCGCCUUGGUUUUCUGAUUUCGGGGUUGAUUUUGAGCAGGCACUGAAGGGAGGGGUGAGGCAGAAGGUGGAAUUGGCGACCAAGUUCGGAAUCAGAUUGGCGGACGGGAAGAGGGAGAUCCAGGGCGAUCCGGCGUACGUGAGGGCUGCUUGCGAGGCCAGCUUGAAGCGGCUCGACAUCGAUUGCAUCGACCUCUACUACCAGCACCGUAUCGACACUCGCGUCCCCAUUGAAGUCACUGUAUGGAUCCCUUAUCAAACUUUCACCUCGCUUGAGACUUUCUCUGAGCCAUACGAUGCAUCGUCAUGUUGUUACAAGUUUGUUGAAUUUUGUUAAAUGACACUUAAGUUCAGCUGAUAGCAGAGUUCAAGAUGCGGCACGGUGUUGUUCAAGGGUUGUGGAAUUUAGUAGUUUAGUGGCUUGAGUUUUCGUUUUGUGGGAAUCUUUUACAAGUUAAGGGUCAACAAGCAUGGAAAUUAUUCGAAAUCUUCCUUUGAGAUGAAAGUGCUCCGGGGUUCAUCCUGAAUUUAUAUACGGGAAUCACAUAUAAAGUUGUUCCUGGACUUUAUACGGAGACAUUUGAUUCUUGACAUAUUGUGAAAUAUGACAAGUACUUGGAAUACUUCUUUUAUUUGCUCUCUUCUGUGAGAGAUUCAAGAAAUCUACCUCCGUUAACUCAAUUCCUUGUGGGUUUUUUGUCGCAUUGAGAUGCAUGAUAAUUGAGGGAUCUAGACACAAAAAGCUAAUGACAAAAAUAAUUUUCUGGAUCUUAACAUGUAAGAUCUUGAUGUUGUUGUUCUGUCAUGUGAAUAUGCACAGAUCGGAGAGCUAAAGAAGCUCGUUGAAGAGGGUAAGAUAAAGUACAUCGGUUUAUCCGAGGCCUCUGCAUCAACAAUCAGAAGAGCACAUGCUGUUCAUCCCAUCACAGCAGUGCAAUUGGAGUGGUCGCUUUGGUCCAGAGAUGUGGAGGCGGACAUCGUUCCAACGUGCAGGUAGGAUAUCACUCCGUUAAUUGUUUAUGCAGCAACAACAGCUUCCUUCUGACUCUGCUUUUCCUUUAAAAUGUUGACUAGGGAGCUUGGCAUUGGAAUUGUUGCCUACAGUCCUUUAGGACGAGGAUUCUUUUCUGUUGGCUCCAAGUUGGCGGAGAAUUUCUCAAAGGAUGACUUCAGACAGGUCUGUUUCUGCUGGUCGACAUAAUUAGAUGCUCACAGUGACUGUCAUUCUCAUUGAAGUGCUGGAAACCUGUUCUUGUGGUAUAAAGAAAAGUUUCUGGAUGGGAUGAAUAAAACUUGGUGACACAAAUGCAUCACGUUCUUAUAUGUCUUCAAUCCAGCACUCGCCAGACAUACUACCUCUCUCGAUUCUAGAUAAAUGUAAAAUCACAAGUAAUGGCUUUAGUGAGCCUGAAAGAGGUAGGUUCCCGGAUUCUCAUUCUUUUGGGAAUGAAUACAUAUAGGUUUAUAUGUAAGUUGCUCUGUUUCCCAGCCUUCCCAACAUUUGCUUAUCACUAUCCUUUCCCCACUUUCCACCCACCCUUUUUCUCUCAUCUUUCUUCACAAGAUUAGCGAUAUUUCCUCGAAAUAACUGACGCCAGUAUCGGGCUCUGGCCUUCCGUCCUUUUUCAUUCUCAUCUUUCUUCACAAGAUAAACUAUAUCUUGACACAACCAUUUCUUGAGUGAGGACUCACGACACCCUUCUUAUGAGAGUUUUGGAUCAAGUUCCCAUCUGACAUAAAGCCAAUUGUGUAUUACUCCCUGCCAUUAGCGUUUGACUAGCGAUAGCGCUGGGCAAGUGAAGUAGCUAUUUUUCUUUGUAGCUAAAAGAGCUCUGCGUCUGAUAACAUUCUUCUACACAUCAUCUACAUUUCUGAUUUUUUAUUUUAUGUGUGACUAAUGGUAUCAUCACACGUACAAAACUUAGAUUGUCGAGUUUGUUUCUGUUUUCACAUCCUACAUCAAGCCCAUCAGCCUUGUGUGGUAGUUGCUAGAUCACUUCGCUUGACGUUUCUAAUGCUUAUGAUUUGGGACAUGAUAUUUUAAUCAUUUCAAGAUUAUUUAUAACUGAUCAUGCUUAUCCAGAUAGACAACGAUUGCACACUUCUAAAUGCUUAUUAUGUCAAGUAACAAGACAAUCUGAUGGCAUGCAAUGCAACCACUUUUGCACUUGUUGCUGUAGAAUUUAGCCUUAAAAGGAAAAUGAUAAUUGCAAUUGCUUUCUGCUGAGACAUUGCUCUAUGUUAUGCAGUAUCAUCCAAGGUUCCAGCCAGAGAACUUGGCUCACAACACGAAGUUAUUUGACCGAGUGAAUGAAAUUGCGCAAAGAAAGGGAUGCACCCCAUCUCAGUUAGCCCUGGCCUGGGUACACCACCAUGGUGACGACAUUUGCCCGAUUCCCGGCACAACCAAGAUCGAGAAUUUCAACCAGAACAUUGGAGCUCUGUCAGUGAAGCUUACACAGGAAGAGAUGGCCGAGCUUGAAUUGAUUGCUUCUGCGGACAAUGUCAAGGGUGGCAGGUAUGAUGGAAGCAUAUCUACAUGGGAAAACUCCGACACUCCACCCCUUUCUUCUUGGAAACCUGCCUAGAAGCGUGUCUGCUUCUGUUGCUGCAUCUUUGAUGUGCAGAGUUUGAGCAUUUGCCGCUGAAGUAAUUUGAGUUGAUGUUGUGUGGCUGUUAUAAGUAUGUGUAAUAAGAGAGUGACUGUUUUCAUUUUGUACAUGUGACAUUCACUAUGAGAAGAUUAUGGAUGUGUACUAACCUUACUGGGGAAAGAUCACUCGAUAAACACGAGAGCGAGUUGAAUAUGAACUGAGCCUGCCUUGUCGACUUUAUGGGGUGACUUUUAGAAUCAAUUGGGAUUUUGAAGAAUUCAAACUCAGUCGUACAUACCGCUGGAAAUAUGGCUUCGAAAUUGGGUAGAACAAUGAAAUCGGAUCGAGUAAAAUAACUCGGACUUUGAGGCGCGAUAUCACUUUCUUUAAGGAUUUAUUUACCCCACAACGUUGCUAAUGGUCACCAGCAAAAAUCCUCCAGGAUACAACAAAGUCUCGGAUGAGAAUACUAGAUAGCAAUUCAAGUAUUUCUCCAGGGUCUCUCUAAGAAACAAUCGAAAAAUUGGAUGCUGUUUUUCAGAAAGGAAUACUCGAAAAUGACACUCUUUUUCUUUCCGAAAAUGAUAGAUAUAUAUAUGAAACAGUCUUGCNNNNNNNNNNNNNNNNNNNNNNNNNNNNNNNNNNNNNNNNNNNNNNNNNNNNNNNNNNNNNNNNNNNNNNNNNNNNNNNNNNNNNNNNNNNNNNNNNNNNUUUUUUUUUUUUAUUUCUUAUUUUUGUUCCAAAGUUGCUCUCACAAUAAAAAAAAAAAAGACCAGAAUAAAAGUAUAAACAAAUGAGUUUCUGUUCUUUUUUGGUUCUCUAGAACAAAAUAAUAAAAAUUUAUAUUUCGGGAAAAAAAAUAAUUUUAAAUGAACACACCCUAAGAUAUCUUUUGUAUUCCGGGGAAGUAGUUCAAUUGACGUGAGCCCGUGCGUCUUCCCUACAUGGGAAGGGUCGUCGCUGGGUCUCAUCUGACCUAAGCAAGCGCGUCUUCACAGCUAUUACCGCUCCCCUCCUACACUUCGUAGCUACCGCCACUCCCCUCCUAUAAAUCUCGGCUCGCCCGACGCCUUCGCCAUCGUCUCGGUGCAGUGCAGGGAACGAGCGAGCUCGAGCUAGACGACGGCAAUGGCGGCUUCGACGACGACGGUGAGGAGGAUCAAGCUGGGGUCGCAGGGCCUCGAGGUGUCGGCGCAGGGGCUGGGCUGCAUGAGCAUGUCCGCCUUCUACGGCCCUCCCAAGUCCGAGCCCGACAUGAUCGCCCUCAUCCACCACGCCGUCGGCUCCGGCGUCACCUUCCUCGACACCUCCGACGUCUACGGUCCUCACACCAACGAAAUCCUCCUCGGAAAGGUCGUUCUCUCAGUCUCUGUUUUGCGUCCGCAUGAAUUAUAUGUGCUUAUAGUGUUACGGAAUUUGGCUUCAUCGAGCAGAGUGCUCUGAUCCCGCGCCUUGGUUUUCUGAUUUCGGGGUUGAUUUUGAGCAGGCACUGAAGGGAGGGGUGAGGCAGAAGGUGGAAUUGGCGACCAAGUUCGGAAUCAGCUUCGCGGACGGGAAGAGGGAGGUCCGGGGCGAUCCGGCGUACGUGAGGGCGGCUUGCGAGGCCAGCUUGAAGCGGCUUGACAUCGAUUGCAUCGACCUCUACUACCAACAUCGCAUCGACACUCGCGUCCCCAUCGAAGUCACUGUAUGGAUCCCCCAUCAAACUUUCACCUCGCUUGAGACUUUCUCCGAGCCAUAUGAUUAGUUGCUAAGUUAGAUUGGUGUUGAUGAUGCAUCGUCAUGUUGUUACAAGUUUGUUGAAAUUUGUUAAAUGACACUUAAGUUCGGCUGAUAGCAGAGUUCAAGAUGCGGCACGUUGUUGUUCAAGGGGUUGUGGAAUUUAGUAGUUUAGUGGCUUGAGUUUUCGUUUUGUGGGCAUCUUUUACAAGUUAAGGGUCAACAAGCAUGAAAAUUAUUCAAAAUCUUCCUUUGAGAUGAAAGUGCUCCAGGGUUCAUCCAGAAUUUAUAUACGGGAAUCACAUAUAAAGUUGUUCCUGGACUUUAUGUGGAGACAUUUGAUUCUUAACAUAUUGUGAAAUAUGUCGAGUACUUGGAAUACUUAUUUUAUUUGCUCUCUUCUGUGAGAGAUUCAAGAAAUCUACCUCCGUUAACUCAAUACCUUGUGACUUUUUUGUCGCAUUGAGAUGCAUGAUAAUAGAGGGAUCUAGACGCAUAAAAAGCUAAUGACAUGCAUAAUUUUCUGGAUCUUAACAUGUAAGAUCUUGAUGUUGUUGUUCUGUCAUGUGAAUAUGCACAGAUCGGAGAGCUAAAGAAGCUCGUUGAAGAAGGUAAGAUAAAGUACAUCGGUUUAUCCGAGGCCUCUGCAUCAACAAUCAGAAGAGCACAUGCUGUUCAUCCCAUCACAGCAGUGCAAUUGGAGUGGUCGCUUUGGUCAAGAGAUGUGGAGGCAGAGAUCGUUCCAACGUGCAGGUAGGAUAUCACUCUGUUAAUUGUUUAUGCAGCAACAACAGCUUCCUUCUGACUCUGCUUUUCCUUUAAAAUGCUGACUAGGGAGCUUGGCAUUGGAAUUGUUGCCUACAGUCCUUUAGGACGAGGAUUCUUUUCUGUUGGCUCCAAGUUGGUGGAGAAUAUCUCUAAGGAUGACUUCAGACAGGUCUGUUCCUGCUUGUCAACAUAAUUAGAUGCUUACAUCAACUGUCAUUCUUAUUGAAGUGCUGGAAACCUGUUCUUGUGGUAUAAAGAAAAAGUAUCUGGAUGGGAUGAAUAAAACUUGGUGACACGAAUGCUUUGUGUUCUUAUAUGUCUUUAAUCCAGCACUUGCCAGACAUCCCACCUCUCUUGAUUCUAGAUAAAUGUAAAAUCACAAGUAAUGGCUUUAAUGAGCCUGAAAGAGGCAGUUUUCUGGAUUCUCGUGCUUUUGGGAAUGAAUACAUAUAGGUUUAUUUGUAAGUUGCUCUGUUUCCCAGCCUUCCCACCAUUUGCUAAUCACUAUCCUCUCCCCACUUUCCACCCACCCUUUUUCUCUCAUCUUUCUUCACAAGAUUAGCGAUAUUUCCUCAAAAUAGCUGACGCCAGUAGCGGGCUUUGGCCCUCCGUCCUUUUUCAUUCUCAUCUUUCUUCACAAGAUAAACUAUAUCUUGACACAACCAUUUCUUGAGUAAGGACUCCUAGCACCCUUCUUAUGAGAGUUUUGGAUCAAGUUCCCAUCUGACAUAAAGCCAAUUGAGUAUUACUCCCCGCCAUUAGCAUUUGACUAGCGAUAGUGCUGGGCAAGUGAAGUAGCUAUUUUUCUUUGUAGCUAAAAGAGCUCUGCGUCUGAUAACAUUCUUCUACACAUCAUCUACAUUUCUGAUAUUUAUUUUAUGUGUGACUAAUGGUAUCAUCACACAUACAAAACUUAGAUUGUCGAGUUUGUUUCUGUUUUCACAUCCUACAUCAAACCCAUCAGCCUUGUGUGGUAGUUUCUAGAUCACUUCGCUUGACGUUUCUAAUGCUUAUGAUUUGGGACAAGAUAUUUUAAUCAUGUCAAGAUAAUUUAUAACUGAUCAUGCUUUUCCAGAUACACAACGAUUGCGCACUUCUAAUGCUUAUUAUGUCAAGUAACAAGACAAUCCGAUGGCAUGCAAUGCAACCACUUUUGCACUCGUUGCUGUAGAAUCUAGCCUUAAAAGGAAAAUGAUAAUUGCUCAUAUGCUCUCUGCUGAGACAUUGCUCUAUGUUAUGCAGUAUCUACCAAGGUUCCGGCCAGAGAACUUGGCUCACAACACGAAGUUAUUUGACCGAGUGAAUGAAAUUGCGCAAAGAAAGGGAUGCACCACAUCGCAGUUAGCCCUGGCCUGGGUAUACCACCAGCGUGAUGAUGUUUGCCCAAUUCCCGGCACGACCAAGAUCGAGAAUUUCAACCAGAACACUGGAGCUAUGUCAGUGAAGCUUACACCGGAAGAGAUGGCCGAGCUUGAAUCGAUUGCUUCUGCGGACAAUGUCAAGGGUGGCAGGUACGAUGGAAGCAUGUCUACAUGGGAAAACUCCGACACUCCACCCCUUUCUUCUUGGAAACCUGCCUAGAAGCGUGUCUGCUUCUGUUGCUGCAUCUUUGAUGUGCAGAGUUUGAGCAUUUGCCGCUGAAGUAAUUUGAGUUUAUGUUAUGUGGCUGUUAUAAGUACGUGUAAUAAGAGAGUGACUGUUUUCAUUUUGUACAUGUGAUAUUCACUAU